ACAUCCUGCGCACCGAAAAGGACGUCGCGUACCAGGUGGCCGAUCGGCUCUGUGAAGCGACGCGCGAGGAGCCGGACAUCGUGCUGGCACUCCCGACCGGGCGGACACCGAUCCCGAUUUACCGCCGGCUCGUGGCGCUGCAUGCGAAAGCAUUGGCGUCGUUCGAGCGCAUCACGACGUUCAAUCUGGAUGAGUUCAUCGGGCUGGCGCCGACGCAUCCGGGCAGCUAUCGCGCGUUCAUGCAGAGACAUGUCUUCUCACCGCUGGGCGUUCGCGACGAGCAGGUGCACUUUCUGGACGGCCUGGCCGAGGAUCUCGGCAGCGAAUGCCGGCGAUAUGAAGCCGAGAUUGCCGCCGUGGACGGCAUCGGCCUGAUGAUGCUGGGUGUCGGCGCCAACGGUCAUGUCGGCUUCAACGAGCCCGCGUCGCAACUGCAGGCGUGGACGCACGUGGCGCUGCUGAGGCCGCAAACGCGAAGGGCUAAUGCGAUCUUCUUCGGUAAGAACGUCGCGGAUGUGCCGGGGCGCGCCUUGUCGGUGGGAAUGGCAACGAUCCUCCAGGCGCGCCGGCUGAUUGUCGUGGCGACAGGGCAGCGUAAACGAUGGGCAGUGGCGGCGAUGGUCGGCGGAACGCUCACCACGCGGGCGCCGGCCUCCUUCCUCCAGACGCACCCGCGAUGCGAUGUCUACGUGGACGAGGCCGCGGCCCCGCCCUAACCCUUGGCGACCGGCUCACUCAGCUUCAGGAGUGCUCUCAGACGGGGCUCGAUGUCUUCGCCGAUGGCUUCCCGGACCGAGUCAUCGGCGGCGCGGAGGCGGGCCACGGCCUUGCUAUAGGUGACGCCGGUCUUCUGCAUGACGAUCGCAGCUUUGACGUUGCCCCUGGCGCGUCCGAGGAGCUUCUUGGAUUCCUCGUACUCGAGUCCCGUGGCGAUGCUCAGGAUGCGCAAGGCGCGAUCCUUCAGCUUCUGCGAUCCCGCCUGGACAUCGACCAUGAGGUUUCCGUAGGUCUUGCCGAUGCGCACCAUCGCGAUCGUCGUGAGCAUGUUCAGCACCAUCUUCGUCGCCGUGCCCGCCUUGAGCCGCGUCGAACCGGUCAGCACCUCAGGGCCCACGUUCGGGGCGACGACCAGGUCAACGAAGUUUUGCAGCUCAGUUCCCGGCCAGCAGGUGACGAAGAUGAUCUUGAGCCCGGCAACCCGGGCCUUCGUCAGCGCUCCGCGGACGAACUCGGUGAUGCCGCUGGCCGACACGCCGAUGACGACGUCGCGAGGUGACGGGCGGAGCCGCCCGAUCGACCGCGUGCCUUCUUCGUAGUCGUCCUCGACGCCCUCACGGGCGCGGAACACAGAGCCCUUGCCGCCGGCCAUGAUGGCGUGGAUCAGGGUCGGCGGGACCCCGAACGUCGGCGGCAUCUCGGCGGCCUCGAGCACCCCCAGGCGGCCGCUGGUGCCGGCACCGACGAAGAUGAUCCGCCCCCCCUUGCGCAGCGCAUGGGUGAUGAUCUCGACACCGUGAGCAAUACGCUCCCUUUCCUUCUGGACCGCGGACACGACCUUGCGAUCCUCGUUCACCAUCAGAUCGAUGAUGUCGCCCACCGGCGCCUUGUCGAGAUUGAGACUGGCCGGAUUGAUCGCUUCGGUUGGAAGGGACUGCCACUUGGAAGGGCUGAUCGGCAUUUCGUCGAAUCGAGGCCGCGGAAAGACGGGGACGGAUACUACUCCCCGCCGAUCGGCGUGUCAAUCUGGGUCCGCAGCUGUCUCACAUGCCGGCGACGCUGAUCUAGAAUUGAGAGCCGGACGCAUCAGGCGCUGAUCAAUUGUAGUGCGGGGCGCGCCCGCAGAGCCGAAAUUCAUGAACGAGGACGCUCACCUGCCACGAGCCGGGUCCGCCGGGAACGCUCGGGCUGUCGACGCCUUUCUCGAUUAUCUUCGCCUCGCGCGGCGGCUGGCUGAAAACAGCGUCGAGGGCUACGCGCACGAUCUGGUGCUUCUCGGCGAGUUUGCCGCCGGUCGCGGCUUGCGGUUCGAGGCGGUGAGCGCCCACGACCUGGAGGAGUUCAUCCGGCAGCUGAUGGCGAGCAGGUACUCGCCGCGGUCCGUCGCCCGGAUCGUCUCGGCGGUCCGCGGGUUCUAUCGCUUUCUCAAGAUCGAGCGGAUCCUGGCCGUCAACCCGGCCGCCGACCUCCGGCCGCCGCGCGCCUGGCCAGCGCUGCCGCGAUUCCUGUCGGUGGAGGAGGUCGAUCGCCUGCUCGAAGCGCCCGAUGUGGCAACGCCGCGCGGCAUCCGCGACCGUGCGCUGAUCGAGCUGCUCUACGCCACCGGCCUGCGCGUGUCCGAGCUGGUCAACGUCAAGACCAACGAGAUCGACCUCGACUCGGGAUGCCUCUCGUGCGUCGGCAAGGGCAACAAGCAGCGCAUCGUUCCCAUCGGCCGCGAGGCCCAGGCAUGGAUGAAGACGUAUCUCGCCGAGGCGCGGCCCCGCCUGCUCGGGCGGCGGCAGUCGGCGCGCGUCUUCGUCAACGCCCGUGG
RNAcentral lists this unclassified non-coding RNA (2530 nucleotides) under uncultured fungus. RNAcentral describes it as "sequence contains 18S rRNA gene, ITS1, 5.8S rRNA gene, ITS2, 28S rRNA gene". Lineage: Eukaryota; Fungi. The record is from RNAcentral.